This 425-nucleotide ribosomal RNA is filed under the name uncultured bacterium. RNAcentral's name for it is "bacterial SSU rRNA". It matches the Rfam family "Bacterial small subunit ribosomal RNA", at positions 354 to 796 of the family's 1533-position model. The record is from RNAcentral.
GUGGGGAAUCUUGCGCAAUGGGCGAAAGCCUGACGCAGCCAUGCCGCGUGAAUGAUGAAGGUCUUAGGAUUGUAAAAUUCUUUCACCGGGGACGAUAAUGACGGUACCCGGAGAAGAAGCUCCGGCUAACUUCGUGCCAGCAGCCGCGGUAAUACGAAGGGGGCUAGCGUGGCUCGGAAUUACUGGGCGUAAAGGGCGCGUAGGCGGACAGCUUAGUCAGAGGUGAAAGCCCAGGGCUCAACCUUGGAAUUGCCUUUGAUACUGGCUGUCUUGAGUUUGGGAGAGGUGAGUGGAACUCCGAGUGUAGAGGUGAAAUUCGUAGAUAUUCGGAAGAACACCAGUGGCGAAGGCGACUCACUGGCCCAAUACUGACGCUGAGGCGCGAAAGCGUGGGGAGCAAACAGGAUUAGAAACCCCGGUAGUCC